RNAcentral lists this ribosomal RNA (1554 nucleotides) under Klebsiella pneumoniae. RNAcentral describes it as "bacterial SSU rRNA". It matches the Rfam family "Bacterial small subunit ribosomal RNA". The record is from RNAcentral. Lineage: Bacteria; Pseudomonadati; Pseudomonadota; Gammaproteobacteria; Enterobacterales; Enterobacteriaceae.
ACUUAAAUUGAAGAGUUUGAUCAUGGCUCAGAUUGAACGCUGGCGGCAGGCCUAACACAUGCAAGUCGAGCGGUAGCACAGAGAGCUUGCUCUCGGGUGACGAGCGGCGGACGGGUGAGUAAUGUCUGGGAAACUGCCUGAUGGAGGGGGAUAACUACUGGAAACGGUAGCUAAUACCGCAUAAUGUCGCAAGACCAAAGUGGGGGACCUUCGGGCCUCAUGCCAUCAGAUGUGCCCAGAUGGGAUUAGCUAGUAGGUGGGGUAACGGCUCACCUAGGCGACGAUCCCUAGCUGGUCUGAGAGGAUGACCAGCCACACUGGAACUGAGACACGGUCCAGACUCCUACGGGAGGCAGCAGUGGGGAAUAUUGCACAAUGGGCGCAAGCCUGAUGCAGCCAUGCCGCGUGUGUGAAGAAGGCCUUCGGGUUGUAAAGCACUUUCAGCGGGGAGGAAGGCGUUAAGGUUAAUAACCUUGGCGAUUGACGUUACCCGCAGAAGAAGCACCGGCUAACUCCGUGCCAGCAGCCGCGGUAAUACGGAGGGUGCAAGCGUUAAUCGGAAUUACUGGGCGUAAAGCGCACGCAGGCGGUCUGUCAAGUCGGAUGUGAAAUCCCCGGGCUUAACCUGGGAACUGCAUUCGAAACUGGCAGGCUAGAGUCUUGUAGAGGGGGGUAGAAUUCCAGGUGUAGCGGUGAAAUGCGUAGAGAUCUGGAGGAAUACCGGUGGCGAAGGCGGCCCCCUGGACAAAGACUGACGCUCAGGUGCGAAAGCGUGGGGAGCAAACAGGAUUAGAUACCCUGGUAGUCCACGCCGUAAACGAUGUCGAUUUGGAGGUUGUGCCCUUGAGGCGUGGCUUCCGGAGCUAACGCGUUAAAUCGACCGCCUGGGGAGUACGGCCGCAAGGUUAAAACUCAAAUGAAUUGACGGGGGCCCGCACAAGCGGUGGAGCAUGUGGUUUAAUUCGAUGCAACGCGAAGAACCUUACCUGGUCUUGACAUCCACAGAACUUUCCAGAGAUGGAUUGGUGCCUUCGGGAACUGUGAGACAGGUGCUGCAUGGCUGUCGUCAGCUCGUGUUGUGAAAUGUUGGGUUAAGUCCCGCAACGAGCGCAACCCUUAUCCUUUGUUGCCAGCGGUUCGGCCGGGAACUCAAAGGAGACUGCCAGUGAUAAACUGGAGGAAGGUGGGGAUGACGUCAAGUCAUCAUGGCCCUUACGACCAGGGCUACACACGUGCUACAAUGGCAUAUACAAAGAGAAGCGACCUCGCGAGAGCAAGCGGACCUCAUAAAGUAUGUCGUAGUCCGGAUUGGAGUCUGCAACUCGACUCCAUGAAGUCGGAAUCGCUAGUAAUCGUAGAUCAGAAUGCUACGGUGAAUACGUUCCCGGGCCUUGUACACACCGCCCGUCACACCAUGGGAGUGGGUUGCAAAAGAAGUAGGUAGCUUAACCUUCGGGAGGGCGCUUACCACUUUGUGAUUCAUGACUGGGGUGAAGUCGUAACAAGGUAACUGUAGGGGAACCUGCGGUUGGAUCACCUCCUUACCUUAAAGAA